GAUGAACGCUGGCGGCGUGCCUAAUACAUGCCAGUCGAGCGAACGGACGAGAAGCUUGCUUCUCUGAUGUUAGCGGCGGACGGGUGAGUAACACGUGGAUAACCUACCUAUAAGACUGGGAUAACUUCGGGAAACCGGAGCUAAUACCGGAUAAUAUUUUGAACCGCAUGGUUCAAAAGUGAAAGACGGUCUUGCUGUCACUUAUAGAUGGAUCCGCGCUGCAUUAGCUAGUUGGUAAGGUAACGGCUUACCAAGGCAACGAUGCAUAGCCGACCUGAGAGGGUGAUCGGCCACACUGGAACUGAGACACGGUCCAGACUCCUACGGGAGGCAGCAGUAGGGAAUCUUCCGAAAUGGGCGAAAGCCUGACGGAGCAACGCCGCGUGAGUGAUGAAGGUCUUCGGAUCGUAAAACUCUGUUAUUAGGGAAGAACAUAUGUGUAAGUAACUGUGCACAUCUUGACGGUACCUAAUCAGAAAGCCACGGCUAACUACGUG
This 497-nucleotide ribosomal RNA is filed under the name uncultured bacterium. RNAcentral's name for it is "partial 16S ribosomal RNA". It matches the Rfam family "Bacterial small subunit ribosomal RNA", at positions 28 to 507 of the family's 1533-position model. The record is from RNAcentral.